AAAACAUACGGACCGUCUACCGACCAAAAUCACUCGCUCGGUGGAAGAUCUUCCCUGUGUCGU
Molecule: microRNA precursor, 63 nt
Filed under: Bombyx mori (domestic silkworm)
Lineage: Eukaryota; Metazoa; Arthropoda; Insecta; Lepidoptera; Bombycidae
Description: mir-2774 microRNA precursor family
Rfam family: mir-2774 microRNA precursor family
Source: Rfam by way of RNAcentral